GUCCACCCCGUAAACGUUGGGAACUAGUUGUGGGGACCAUUCCACGGUUUCCGUGACGCAGCUAACGCAUUAAGUUCCCCGCCUGGGGAGUACGGCCGCAAGGCUAAAACUCAAAGGAAUUGACGGGGACCCGCACAAGCGGCGGAGCAUGCGGAUUAAUUCGAUGCAACGCGAAGAACCUUACCAAGGCUUGACAUACACCAGAACACCGUAGAAAUACGGGACUCUUUGGACACUGGUGAACAGGUGGUGCAUGGUUGUCGU
RNAcentral lists this ribosomal RNA (264 nucleotides) under uncultured bacterium. RNAcentral's name for it is "partial 16S ribosomal RNA". It matches the Rfam family "Bacterial small subunit ribosomal RNA", at positions 793 to 1055 of the family's 1533-position model. The record is from RNAcentral.